RNAcentral lists this long non-coding RNA (10749 nucleotides) under Lynx pardinus (Iberian lynx). Lineage: Eukaryota; Metazoa; Chordata; Mammalia; Carnivora; Felidae. The record is from RNAcentral.
ACGGACUGACAGCAGUGAAAACUGAAGAAAACACUGAGAAGAUAGUGAAAAAGUUAAUGAGGUCUGUACUCUUCCAUGGCCAAGAUCAGAAAAAAUUGAUCUACGUAUUUUAGGUUUUAGCAAACGGGUAAGUUCCAACAGCCUUUUUAACCUUUCUAAACCUGUUUAUACAAUCUUGAUGACGGGCAAUGAGGGUCAUCUGGAGAGAUAACAUUUCAAAUUGUACAAAUUACAUUCCUGAUGUCCUAAUACCGAGGUUAUUCCAGUUCAAAAACUGUAUUGUGGACCAUGUAAGGUCAUAAGUUACAGACAAAAGAUUGAGACUCUAGUAAAAUUCUUGUGUUUUUUUUUAACUUUAGUCUUUAAAAUUUUUACUAUAGUCUUUAAAAUUAUGGUAAAGUAUGCACGAAAUUUGCCAUUUUAACCAUUUUCAAAUGUAUACUUUAGUAUUAAGUACAUUCACACUGAGGUAUACCCAACCCAGAACUCUUUUCAUCUUGCAAAACUGAAACCCUAUUGCUAUUCCCAUUAAACAACUCUUCAUUUCUCCUUCCCCUCAACCCCUGACAACCACCAUUCUCAUCUCUAUUAAUUUGACCACACUAGGUACUUGGUAUAAGUAGAAUCAUACAAUAGUUGUUUUUUUGUGAAUGGCUUAUUUCACUCAGCAUGAUGUUCUCAGUGUUCAUGUGCCACAUGUGUCAAUUUCCUUCCUUUCUAAGGCUGAAUAUUCUGUUGUAUACAUAUACUACCUUUUGUUCAUCGAUUCAUCUAUAGAGGGACACUUGGAUUGCUUCCACCCUUGAAUAGUGUUGCUAUGAACUAGUCUUUGUUUUAAAAUCCAUUUCACUGUGCCUCAAACCCACAUUCGUGAAAAUAUGGCAACAUCAAGUCCCUCACAUUCCUGCUGAAUGGAAAGACUAACCACAAAAAAAGUGGUAUGUCCUCUAAAACGGUAAAGAAAGGCAGAGUCCCCAAACACAGUCCGUGCUCAGAAAUGCUUGUUUUGGGUUUUGUUUGUUUGUUUGUUUGUUUGUUUUUUUAGAUCUUCCAUUGUAUCAUUCCAAAAUAUUUUAAGUCAACAUACACUUAAUACAUAUUAGUUAGGUCUUGUCUGCAUGUGAGCCCUUGGUUGUUAAGAAGGAGAGACUGCUAACUAUAUGUUUCUCUGAGAGAAGACAAACACCAUAACAAUUAUCAUGAUACACUAAGGCUUUUGAGAACAGGUAGAUACAAUGAUCUUUUUGAAUAUAAGGACAUACGGGAAAUAGAAUUGAAAAAUUCUACUCGCUAGUCAUUCAAAGAAAAAUGUAACCAUAUCAGAACAGAUAUGCAUUUUUAAAAGGCAGACUUCUAUAAAACGGUACUCAUAUUACAGUAAAUCACUAAAACAAUUGUUGGAAUAGCGUAGUUUCUGUUUUCUAUGUGGAUCCAUGAAAAGACCUGCCAGAAACUGUCAGCACUCAAACUUCUACAUGAUUCAGGACGGUAGGCCCUGACUAUAACCUUCAAAUUAGCUUUAAAAUGAGUCAAAUUUAAUCAAUCUCAGCACAUUUUUGUGGGCUUAAGAUCAACCUAAAAAGGUUAAGAACAGUUAUUAAAGUUUAAAUCAAAUGAUUAGGUUUGGAGUCAAGAAACCACUUUCUGAAAUAUAGUCUUGGUAUAUCAGAAGUAGAAAUCUGACAUUGUUACCUUUUGUUCAAGGGUGUGUGGACUCUAAGUUGAAGUAUAGUUGACACACAAUGUUACAUCAGCUUCAAGUAUACAGUGAUCAGACAACUAUGUACAUUAUUGCUAUGCUCACCACGAACGUAGCUACCCUGUCACCAUCCAUCCCUAUUAUAAUACCAUUGACUAUAUUCCCUAUGCUGUACCUUUCAUCCAUAACUGAAGCCUGUACUUUCCACCCCCCUUCAUCCAUUUUGCCCAUCCCCCUUACCACCCUCCCCUCUGGCAACCACCAGUUUGUUCUCUGUAUUUAUGGGGUUUUUUUGUUUGUUUGUUUAGAUUCCACAUGUAAGUGAAAUCAUACGGUAUUAUGGUAUUUGUUUUAUCUCACUGGACUUCACAAUUAUUUCAGAAGUGUCUAGUCAACAGACAAACAUGUACAAAUCUGAAAUCUCAAAAGGUCACUAAAGGAAAGGAAGAGAAACCCCUAUUUACAAUUUUUCUAUACUAGGGACAAGAUUAGAUGUCUUUAUAUGCUUUCUUAUUUAAUCCUGUAACAACACUACAAGAUGAGAUUAGCUCCAUUUUACAGAUGAAGAAACUGGGGUUUAGAGAAAUCACUUAAUUUGCCCAGGGUCACAUAGCUGGUAACUGAGGAGGGAGAGACAAACACUCUGUUCUAUCUGAAUCUCAAACCCACACUCCUCCCUUAACAGGAUCUUCAGGUUUUACAAAGUCUUCCUCCAAUAUUACUGCAGUAGAUGGUUAUAUGUCAAGUAGCUUUAUUCUUAGCUACACCUUUUUUCCAAAUACUUCAAAGUUUGACCAAUAAGAAUCAAAUAAUGAUGUGCUAAAAAACAAAUGUGAGAUUAAACUAUGUUUGUAUGAUUUUCUGGCAUAAUUCUAAAUCAUUAAUUAUUCUAGAAUGUACUUGGAGAUUUCUGGUAUAUGUACCACUUGUCCUAUAGAAUCACAGAUAGUGGUAUAUGAAAGGAUGUGUUAAUCUUCUCACUAUGUGAUCAUCUACACUUAACAAUCCUCUAUGGAAGUAGUCAGGAGUCCCUUAUUAUGACACGCAUGCAGGAUCUAGGGAACACAAAAUAUUCUGUAGAUUCUCUAGAUUUUUGAAGCACAGAAAAUCCAAGAAACAGUCAAGCAAAAAUUAUAGCCUUUCUUGAAAGUUCAGUAGUUUAGCAGGUUUCUGCCCACUGAAAGUUUGCCUAAAUCUUAAUGUCAAAUGUCUAUUAUCUUAAUCUGCCAUAUUUCAGGCCAAGCAGAUGGCCUCCAUAUUUGAAUUGUUCCCAAUUAAUCUAUAGGCACUUCUCAUGCUAUUAGCACCUCUAUUUCCUAAAUUCUCAACCUCCUGGUCCCUCAAAUCUACUUGUAAAACUCACAAACUAACACUAUGUAGAGAGUAAUUAUUCUCAAGCUAGAGUUGAAUGGGUGAAAUAUCAAUGUCCUAUGAGAUUUUUUUUUUGAACUUCUACAACUCCACCCACAUCUUCUGGUUUUGAUGUCCAACUAUAAGACACUUGGAAAAAUCUCAGGAGAAAGAAAUAACAUAUGAACUUUGAAAAAUUAUAUCCCAGCCUGCGAGAAGGGGGAUAGCUCCGAAUCUGGAGCAAGGGGCCAACGUACAUGGCAUGAAAAAGCCCCAAAGUUAUCCUGAAGCAUGUAACCUCUUGAAACCUGUACCACUGGUCCUUGGCUCUUCGAUUUUGCUGACCAGUCAAAUGCACAAAAUAUUCCUGGAAUAAAAACAUUCAAAACUCAAGCAGUUUGGAACUGAAGAUCUUUAAAAAAUUUAACUGGAUGAAAAACUCACUUCUUAGCUAGAACAAACGAAAACUUUCUCAAGCACAUCACACAGGAACCAUUUCACCCAUAUGGUCUACAAUAUGUAAUUAGCACCUCACUAGUUACAAACCAAGCUUCCUUCCUUCCUUCCUGCCACAAUCUUCACCGUGCCCAGAGAGAAAGAACAGAAAUUAUUAUAUCCAUUUUAGAAAUAAGAAAACUCAUGCUCUGGGUGAGUAAAUGUGCUGCCAGAGGCAACACGAUCAGGAAACAGCAGAGUCAAGAGUAGAACCCUAGACAGACUUUCCUAUGGAGCACAGAACUGAGAAGGAUUUAGUGACUUCUGUAACAAUUUCCAAAGUGAAUUUUGUCAGCAAAAAUCUAAAAGUAAGUUAGCAUUUGUACUUUGCAGGUCUUCAGAGUUUUUUAUUUCCUUUAUCUGAGUAAUUUUACUGGAUUCUAGAAAGUAUGGGUCCACAAGAUCUUGAAAAAGAAAUUGAUCCGUCAACACAGAAAGUUAGAGAAACACUGUCCAGCUCUAAAUCAAAUCUCUCCCUGAAUCAAAAUUAACCCUUAUGUGUGUAUAGGUGAAAAUAAGUAUAUACUAGGAAUUCUAGAUACCAUCUUAAAAUACUUUGUUAAAGAAAGCAAAUAUUCCCAAAUAAGAAUUUUCUAUCUUAUAAAAGCAGCAUAUAACGCACAAAGGCAUAAAGACUGGACUUUAAAAUAGCUGAAGGGCCAAGGACAGAAUCUGAAAGUCAAGGCUAAAUGUUACCAGUAAGGAGGCAGGAGUUUGACAAGAACCUAGUUCUUUCUUCAUGGCACAUAGAUAAAACCACAGCCCCAGCACGGACCUCUCCAGGUGACCUCUGGUGGCCAGCCACUCCCUUGGGUCACUGAACCUCUCUCCUAGAGAGAACAUCCAGUGCCUUCCUCAUCACCUUGAGUCAACCCACGGGUCAAGAAUAAAUGGCAUUAGCGAUGUCCCUGGCACCCAGCUGAAUGACAGUGUGAUCUGCUCAGUACAAAUUCCGUCGUGGGUUUUUUUUGUUGUUGUUGUUGUUUUUUGGGUUUUUUUGCGGGGGGUGGGCGGGGAGGAGUACGUAGAGUACUUGAAUUCAGGUUUGAUACAAUUUAUAACAUAAAAACAGGAUUAUUUUUUGAGGUAAUAAACUAUGUUCUGCAGUUUUCAUCUAAGGUAUCUUGGUCCUUUAACACUAAGAAGUUUUGUAAUAGAAUUGCCAUGAACAUUCUUGUAAACAUGAAUUAUUUCAUAUUCAGGUUCAUUUUCAUUGCCUUAAUUUUCAGGUAAUUCUACUUCUUUGUUCCACCCCGAGUAGCACUUUACCUUCCCUGGUAUUUCUACAUCCAAAUAAUUGCAGAUGGUUAACAAGGCCUAGCUUUGCUGUCUCUAAGCCCAGGUGAACCUACUUAAUUCCUUUAACCUAUCCCUCCACCCUCCUCCGUCAUCUUCCUGAUUUCUCCUCUGAACGUUUUCCAAGAAAAUGUCCACAUCUUUCCUGGUCUCAGGCUCCCAGAACAAAUGUGGUUUUCAGGUGCCAUUUCAUCAGAUUCACUUCCCUACCCUGAGGUAAAGCUCUUGAAUUCCUCACAUCCCUUUGGUCCUUUCCCCUGUUCUUACAUCCAGGGUGGGUCCAAGGUAUUUCACUGCCCAAGGCAAAAGGAGACUGCUUUCCUUCUCUGCCAGUAACUGGAUCCAUUUCAGAAAGGUUUACAUGCUCUCCUCACCCCGCUCCCACUUUUACUUCUGAGUUAUAGAUAUUCUGCUAACUUAUCAGGGUAUCAGAGACUGUAAAUAAAUCCAGCGUCUUGUAGUAUUUGGAAAGUUCACAAGCUCUGGAAGGCAGAAGCAUGACAUCUGGCAAUUCGUUUCAUUUCCAAAAGCCCCAGCAUCCUCAUCUUCAAAAGCAGGUGGUAAGAAAAUAUAUGUAAAACUAAGAAAACGUAUACAUUUUUAGCACCUAAGGAAUUCUAUAAAGACUUUUGUUCUUUUGUUAGAAGUCAGGGUUGUUGGGGCACCUGGGUGGCUCAGUCGGUUAAGCAUCUGACUUUGACUCAGGUCAUGAUCUCGCAGUUUGUGGGUUCUAGCCCCACAUAUGGCUCUGUGAUGACUGCUCAGGGCCUAGAGCCUGUUUGGGGUUCUCUCUCUCUCUCUCUCUCUCUCUCUCUUCCUCUGAUCUUUCCCCAUUCACACUGUCUCUGUCUCAAAAAUAAACAUUAAAAAAAAAUUUUUUAAGUCAGAUUUCUUAAAAUAUUAGGUAACAAAAUGCCUUAGCAAAAGUAAACAAUGCAUAAAGAAGAAAUGCUACUAGUUAUCCAGACUUCAUGCUUUCUUCCUCAAAAGUUUUCAAAGUCAUUGAGAACUGGUUGUUUAAACAUAUACUGAAUCAGCUCCAGUUCUAUAAGGGAAGAGUUUUCAGCACCUCCUUAGCAUCUGUAUGUUGUCCCUUCCAUUACUGAGGUUUUGUGAUGUUAACUGAAGUUUAAAUUAUAUUUAAAUUACAAAAAGAAGGCGUUGGGUAUCUAUGUAGCCUCAUGUUUUCAAAAACCAUAUUACAAUAGCUACCUUUCAGUAGCUACAAUAGCUACCCCGACUGAAAGAAAGAAAGAAAAAGUACACUGAAGUGUACAGAUUAUCAGACUCCUUUAAAAAGGGGUGGGUUGAGGCACCCCACUGGCUCCAGCGGUAGAGCAUCGUGUCUCCAGACUGUUGAGUUCAAGCCCCAUGUUGGCUGUAGAGAUUAGUCAAAACUAAUAAAAUGAAGAAGAAGAAGAAAGAAGGAAGAAGGAAGAAGGAAGAAGGAAGAAGGAAGAAGGAAGAAGGAAGAAGGAAGAAGGAAGAAGAGGGUUCCUGUGAGAAAUAAGACCACUGCCCCAAUCAAAGGAGGGGCAUGCAGACUGGGAGAGCAGUGAAGCGAGGCUUUAAUCAAAGUUCUUGCAAGAGUGGGUGUGUCCAAUGGACAGGCACUCUCAGGGUGGUUACAGCAGGCAAUUUAUCUCCUAGUUGCAAGUCCCUCCCCCGACUCCUCAUUGGCUGAGUACUACAGAGAAACUUCCGAAAGUUUACGCAGAAACUUCAGUUCUUUGGCACGUGUCCAUUGUAAAGCUCAAGAAAAGUAAGGCCGUGAAAUAGAGAGAGGAAAAAAAAAAAAACCAGGAAGUGAAGUGUCUAAGGGUUUGGGACUCCACUGUAGGGGGCAGGGGUUCAUACAUAUUUCCAAUAGGUUGUAAACCUACUGUUGACAGCACAGCUUUUAUUUGGUAUUUCUGAAAAUGAAUCCUCUCACUUCUCACAGUUCCUACAGGAAUUUUUUAAAUAAAGGUAGUUGCCAUAGUUAGCUUUAAAAAAAAAAAAAAAUUUCACAGAACAUACCCAAUGUUGAACACACUCAGUUUUUGCUCAAGAGCAAAAGCAUUUCUUUUCCGUAUCUUUUCUGACACAUUCUUCACCAGCUUUAAAACUCUUUUUGUUGGGAUUAUCAGUCGCUCUGUAAUUCCUGCACAGCCUUCCACAGGAGAAAGACCAAACCUAGUAAAGGAGGACCUACUCACCGCUCCACUUCCACCGACCGCUGGAACGUGCGAGACACCAGCGCAGAUCCCAGGCUGGGACCAAAGCCCUAGCUCCCCUAUUUAUCGGGUGUGUUAAUGACCAACAGUUCUCAGUUGUAUCCAUUUCCAGUAAUUGCCCUGCCCUGAAGAUCACCCCUUCACCCAGAGAUCACCACCCUAUUCACCCAUCCGAUGAUUGGUCAGUUAAAGACACUAAAGGCACUGGAACAGGCUGAGGCCUUGGUCUCAGGUGUGCUGUGGUUCACCUUCCUUCAUUCCCCCUGAAUGCUGAACUCGAGUGCUCUCCAAUAAACUCCCUGCACCUGCAUCAGUCUUAGAUUCUGUUUUCCAAGGACCAGGUAUGGUCCAAGAAAGCUGCCUCUGAUGAGCAGCCGGCCUGCUGGGCUUAAGGAUCCCUGGUAGUGCAGAAGCACAGAAAGCUGCUCACACAGGUAGAUGGUGCAAUUGUUCAGAACCUCAUGGGGUGGGGGAAAUGAUUAAGAAUAAAUGAACAAAUAUCAUACCUUUCCUCGGUAAGACACAUUUAUACGUGGCUGCAGGAAUCAUCUUUUUUUUUUUUUUUUUUUUUUAUGUUUACUUUCGGGAGAGAGACAGAGCAUGAGCUGGGUGGAGAGAGAAAAAAGGACAUAGAGUCCAAAGCAGUCUCCAGGCUCUGAGCUGUCAGCAGACAGCCCGUCACAGCGCUCGAACCCACAAACCUUGAGAUUAUGACUGAGCCGAAAUCAGACACUUAACAAACUGAGCCACCCAGGCUCCCCUAAGAUAGAGCAUAUUCUAAAAUAGAGUGGAUCAUGAUGCAGGUUUGUGGCUCAGGUUUACUUUCAGGAAACACUCAAGGCUUCUUAGUGAAUCUAAGCACAACAUGUAACCUUCUAAUCAUAACCAACCUAGUGUUCAAAAAGAACACUAGUUAUUGGUUUACAAGAGAAUUCUAUCUCAAGUGAAACUGACAUAGCAUUUUUUGUAGACAUGCAUACAUUGGUUCAUUUGUAUACAGUGUAAGUUUUUAUAACAUCAAGAAUAAAUACACCAUUGGGGUGCCUGGAUGGCUCAGUCUGUUAAGCGUUUGACUAUUUAGGCUCAGGUCAUGAUCUCCCGGUUUGUGAGUUGGAGCCCUGCAUGGGACUCAAUGAUGAGGGGCAGAGCCUGCUUGAGAUUCUAGCUCUCCCUCUGCCCUUCCCCUGCUUGUGCUCUCUUUCUCUCUCAAAAUAAAUAUGUUUUUUAAAAAAGAAUAAAUACACUGCAAAAUUAUCCUAGUCCUUAAAAGUUAUCUUUAGGGGCGCCUGGGUGGCUUGGUCAGUUAAGUGUCCGACUUCGGCUCAGGUCAUGAUCUCACGGUCCGUGAGUUCAAACCCCGCAUCGGGCCCUGUGCUGACAGCUCAGAACCUGGAGCCUGUUUCAGAUUCUGUGUCUCCCUCUCUCUCCGCCCCUCCCCUGUUCAUGCUCUGUCUCUCUCUGUCUCAAAAAUAAAAUAAUAAAAAAAUAAAGUUAUCUUUAAAUAUUUAAUGCCUGUCUAAUUGAGGACACUUGUGACCUUAGGUAGCUUAUAGUAUGUCACUACUUUAUAUAGCAAUACUCCAAAGAAACCUGUCAAGUUCAGACUAAAUUUGUGCAAGGCAAGAUUGAGUAUGAAACAUAUCCCAGAUCACUUUGGACAUUUUUAGCAUAUAUAUGAAGCUGGCCAGGGACAGAAUGCUCACAACAGAUCUUCUACUGUAAGUCUAUAGGGUUGUGGUUUAAUUAUAAAACCUGAAAGCACAUUUCAGGUAGCAUAUGUCAUUGGUCAACUAUGCUUCAGACUGUGGGAGAAAUAUUCCUGAACAAGUCAGUGAACUUCCAAUUUGUAACGGAUGGAGAGGUAGAACUCUGAAAGGAUCAGUUUGAAGGGAGAUUAUUUCUUUUGCUCAUUAAUUCAUUUUUUGAUAAUCCUAUAUUAAGCACAUUCAUUACAAAUCCAAGCUAGAAACUUAAAUCUGGAACUUUCUGGUGAUGAGUUAACAAGUUAAUAUAAUGUAGCCUUGUCUGACUGAGAUUUACUAAACUGGAAAAAGAAAAGUUAUUAGUUCAGUCUGAAAAUUGACUUGGAGGAAGAAAAAAAAAGAUAUUCUCAGCUAAUGGUUCAUACAAUAGAAAUUACUGAAACAAUUAUUUAGGAACUGUAGUGAGGCUGUCCUCUGAGAUUUUCUAAAUAAGGAAAAUAAAUUGCCCUCUGAGUCUAAAGUCAAAACCAACUGCAACAAGUACAAAAUCAACAAGGAAUAGAUCACCCCAUAUGUAAAAGAGAUAGAAAAUCUUUUACACUGGUACGAUUCCAGAGGUCAUUUGAAUAUAUGGUCAUUUGAUUUUUAGGCAGUACAUAACUCAAUGGAGCAUUUGUAGGCAGUAACUAACUCACCCUGGUUAAGAUAUAGGGUCAAGUCUAGGGGUACCAGACAGGAAGAGAUCCCUGAGCCGCAUUUAGUUUUAACAAGAGUGGCCCUUUCCAGAUUAUUUUAUUCCCAUCAGCCGUCCUAAGUGAAUUAUAUAUAAUAUUAAUUAAUUUUCAACACAAGAAUAGUAGGUAGAUGUUUGGAAAGUUUUUUUUUAAAUAGUGACAUAAGACAAUGUGUACCCUUCCUAUUACUGAUUUAGUAAUUUCAUCUUGUAUCUGAAGUUUCAAGAAAUAGUCAUUUUUUUCUAUGCCAUCAAGUUUGCUGGUUAUUAAUUCCUGAACCAUAUCAGAAGUAAUAAAUACUGUAUUCAGGGAAAACAAUGGCAUAUACUAUGCCAGGAAAAUUUUUAAAGAAAACAAUGGUUCAGGAAAAAACAUCUCAAUAUCACAUUAAAAAAUUUUUUAUUCUGAGUAUAUUAAAGCAAAUGUUUGGAAUUCAUGUGAUAAUAUUUCUAGUUCAGAACUUUCUUUCAACUCUUUCUACUCAAUCAACAACUUUCUCAUUCCAAAAAAUCUCUAAACUUGCUUAGGCUGUAUAAUUUAUCUAAGAGCAUUCAGCUCUCAAACAGCUGAGCGUCCCAAACGUUCAUGUUUGACAAAAAUGGCAAAAGACAACGAAGAGUUCAAUCUAAAGAUUUGAAUUUAUUUUUCCUAUUUAGGAGUGAGAAUUUAAAAUAAAGGGUUAAUGCCAUAUGGAAAAAUCCUUGAGCCAUACUGCAUGGUGUAUAAAACACUUAGGACACUUAUAAUACAAUAUUGUGUUACCUUAAAAUGUUUUAUUUACGUUCCUCAUCUUUCUCAAAAGAAAAAAAAAAGUUGAAAGAAUUCACAGAAAAUGACUUCAUAACCUCAUAAUAAUAUUAAGAAAUGAAAUUACAAAAUAAAAACCAUAACUAAGAAGAAAGCAAAUAUUCCAAAAACAUAUUUUAGAAUAAAACUUUCCAACAAAUACAGGAAGUCCUUAUUAAGUCACUCUUGUAACCCCAGUUUUCCAGAGAACAUAUCUUGGAGAUAAAAAUACGGUCAUGGCAACAGUACCCUCCAAAUCCAUCCCAGUUGAGAGAAUGCAACCCAUUUCAAAUUUCUCAACAAGAGAAAGUCCCCAAAAAGGGCCUUCUUGGCUGUAAUUUGAUAUUUGCCAUUUUCUUUCUCUUCUAUUCUGUAGUGACAGCUCCUAUCACUGCUGAAGCCAAAAAUGGCAGCUACAUCAGUGUGGUUCACAGAAGUGGUCAUCACCAAUGGCUGACAAGGACACUGAC